GGGGUGCUCGAGUGGCGAACGGGUGAAUAACACGUGAGUAACCUGCCCUUGACUUUGGGAUAACUUCAGGAAACUGGGGCUAAUACCGGAUAGGAGCUCCUGCUGCAUGGUGGGGGUUGGAAAGUUUCGGCGGUUGGGGAUGGACUCGCGGCUUAUCAGCUUGUUGGUGGGGUAGUGGCUUACCAAGGCUUUGACGGGUAGCCGGCCUGAGAGGGUGACCGGCCACAUUGGGACUGAGAUACGGCCCAG
Molecule: ribosomal RNA, 249 nt
Filed under: uncultured Actinomycetales bacterium
Lineage: Bacteria; Bacillati; Actinomycetota; Actinomycetes; Actinomycetales
Description: partial 16S ribosomal RNA
Rfam family: Bacterial small subunit ribosomal RNA
Source: RNAcentral